This 331-nucleotide long non-coding RNA is filed under the name Helianthus annuus (common sunflower). RNAcentral's name for it is "hypothetical non coding rna". The record is from RNAcentral. Lineage: Eukaryota; Viridiplantae; Streptophyta; Magnoliopsida; Asterales; Asteraceae.
CCACCCAUGAAUGAAUAAUCUACUGCACAUAGUUUAAGGUUUUACAGCAAAUAGUUUGGCAACCUACAUGUCAUUAUUCAACUUGCACGAUGCACCUUCUUCGCUUUCGAGCCUCCCAACCGUUUUUGUCAUAAUCCGGUUACCUGUUGACUAAAGGAGAAAGGAAUUCCAACUCUCUUUGAACCAUCGGCCAUCCUUUUACGAGAGUAACGGUCUUCUAACGGAGCAUAACCACUUGAGACCUGAUAACAGUUUGAACUGCUUGAAUUAAUACAUCUUGGCAACCAACAGCAUGCACACUUUCCACCUUUGGGCAUUGCAGUACUAAUUU